Molecule: ribosomal RNA, 487 nt
Filed under: uncultured bacterium
Lineage: Bacteria
Description: bacterial SSU rRNA
Rfam family: Bacterial small subunit ribosomal RNA
Source: RNAcentral
AGAGUUUGAUCCUGGCUCAGGAUGAACGCUGGCGGCGUGCCUAAUACAUGCAAGUCGAACGAGGUGCUUUGUAGCAAUACGAGAGUAUCCUAGUGGCGAACGGGUGAGUAACGCGUUGGUGACUACCCCAAAGUGUGGGAUAACAGUCCGAAAGGAUUGCUAAUACCGCAUGUGGUCUUCGGGUUUAGAAACUGAUGACUAAAGGAGCAAUUCGCUUUGGGAGGGACCUGCGUCCCAUCAGCUAGUUGGUGAGGUAAUGGCUCACCAAGGCUACGACGGGUAGGGGACCUGAGAGGGUGACCCCCCACAAUGGAACUGAAACACGGUCCAUACACCUACGGGUGGCAGCAGUAGGGAAUAUUGCACAAUGGGCGAAAGCCUGAUGCAGCAACGCCGCGUGUGCGAUGAAGGCCUUCGGGUCGUAAAGCACUUUUCUGGGAGAUGAGCAAGGACAGUAUCUCAGGAAUAAGUCUCGGCUAACUACGUG